Molecule: long non-coding RNA, 25255 nt
Filed under: Triticum aestivum (bread wheat)
Lineage: Eukaryota; Viridiplantae; Streptophyta; Magnoliopsida; Poales; Poaceae
Description: long non-coding RNA (TAES_LNC002858)
Source: RNAcentral
UUUUUUUUUCGUGUCAUUGUUUCAAAUGGAAAUUUAAACCUCUUAAUAAUGGUAACUGUUGUUUACUUGAAACUAUGUGUACGCUUAGGUGAACAAAGUUGAGCUAUAAAUUUGCCAUGUUUCAGAAUACUAUAUGGUUUACUACGUUGUCCCGGCAGUCUUUCUUCCUCAAAAGGAAGAAAAAAUUCCAGGAUUCUGCACAAAUUAUUUUGGUGUCUAGAUGUGAUCUGAUCAUCGGAAUGCAUGAACUGUACUGAACUCUUCCAAGGACACAUCUGAAUGUUGCUUAUCCUGAUCUAAUUAUCUGCAACCCACAGGUUAUGGAGCUGCACUCGCAGUGGUGGCAGGAACGACCUUGCUCGGGCCACCUUCUCUUCGAUCACCCCACAUAACCAGGAGGCGUCCCUCCGUGGUUUCGAUGGCUCACCGCCACAAUGCUAAGAUGCCAGGCCUACGAGUAGCACACGCUCCCGCGGUUACUCCUGGCCUCGGCUUCAGCUCAACAGAGCAAGGUUUGAGGAUGUCAUCGUCGAGAGGGAAAAAGGAUGAUCGUUUCGUCACCAGAGCAAUGCUUGAGGGUUUCACUGAGCACGCGUUAGAUGUCAUGGCCGUCGCACAAGAGGAGACACGGCUUUUUUUAGGCCAGCACAACCUUGCAAAUGUAGCACGUAUCGUCGCACACACCAUUGUUAUAGUUGCUGUGGGCUAUGCGCUUGAUGAGGUAAAUAAAGUGCAUUUAGAUUUUAGAGUCAUACUUAUGUAUGUCUAGCUGUGAGUUCAUGCUUCAUUUGUGUCGUAAAAAUUUGUCUUGCAUCAUAGAUCUUCCGUAGGAUUUUUCAAGCCACGCGUGGUCAAGCCGUUGGUGCUCGUGUUGUGGCAGGAAGCAGUGAAGCUAAGAUGCCGACACUCGAGCAGUAUGGGACGAAUCUUACAAAAUUAGCACAGGAGGUACUAUAAACUAGAUUGAAUAUGCAUUGCAAAUUAAUUUCAACAGAAAAUAAGAAUGUUGAAAGAGAAGGCAUGCCAUUUUAAUACAGGGGAAGCUAGCACCUGUUGUCGGAAGGGAAAAGGAGAUCGAGAGCGUCACGCAAAUCUUGGGCAAAAUGAAGAAGAAGAAUCCCUGUCUGAUUGGAGAGCCCGGUGUUGGGAAAACGGUGAUAGUCGAAGGGCUUGCGCUACGUAUCACUGCCGGGGAUGUUCCUGAAACAAUUCAAGGGAAAACGGUUCGUGUGCUCGCUCCGAUGACAUCUCUUCUCUUUUGGCUAAAAUUUUGACCUGUCUCGUACUUAAAAUGUUCUGAACUUGAAUUUCUGUAGUUUUAGCAGUCCUGCACGUUUUGUGUGAGAUGAAGACUUAGUUAGCUGCUCUUGUCAUAAAUAUGAACUAUCAUGGCAGGUUAUCAGCCUUGACAUGGGGCCCCUAGUUGCCGGUACCAAAUACCGUGGAGAGUUCGAAGAAAGGCUGAAGAACUUGAUGGAAGAACUCAAACAGAAUGGCGAGGUAAUACUGUUCCUCGAUGAAGUUCACACCCUGGUAGGAGCAGGAGCAGCAGAAGGUGCUAUCGACGCGGCCAACAUUCUGAAGCCAGCACUGGCAAGAGGUGAAAUUCAGGUACACCCAAAAAUGUUCUACUCCAUAGUUGGUCAAUUGGUCAUGCCGACAUCGUCGCUGAUGAAAAAUUGCUCGCUGUAACUUUGGUUGUCAGUGUAUCGGAGCCACCACAUUCGACGAAUACGCCAAGCACAUUGAGAAAGACCCUGCGCUGGAGAGGCGGUUCCAGCCUGUGAAAGUUCUAGAGCCCACGGUUGAUGAAGCCAUAGGAAUUCUCAGAGGGCUCCAGGAGGGGUACGAGGACCACCACAAACUCCGAUAUACCGACGAGGCGCUGAUCGCCGCUGCUCGGCUCUCGCAGAGAUACAUCAGGUUUCGAUGGUUUCAGUAUAUUUCCGUUCCGUUUGGUCUUUUUUGAACACUGCCUUCUGUUUGCAGUAACCGUUUCCUCCCGGAUAAAGCCAUCGACUUGAUUGAUGAAGCGGGAUCUCAAGUCAGGAUACGUCAUGGCAAGGUAAACAUUUUCUCUCAUAUGAAUAUAUGAUGCACCUAAAUGUAAUCCUGCACGCAGUUUAGUUUUCAUGAUCCGAGAAUCUGAAUUUCAAACUAUACUGACACUGACAGGUACCUGAGGAAGUCAAGGAUCUCUGCAAGAAGCGCGAGGAAAUCAUCAAACGGAGGGACGACGCCGUCCGUUGCCAGAAUUUCGAGCUGGUAAUCGCCUUCUCUUCCGAUCAAUCAAUCAAUCAGCCAAAAGAGCUUAUUUCUUGUUAUAUGAUUCCACAUUUCGUUUACAAUUUCCAUUAUGAUGCUAUAUGAUUACAGGCAAAAGAGCUUCACAUGGAAGAGCUGGAGCUCACGUCCCAGAUCACGUCUGCCGUGCCGAUGGUCACCGAGGCGGACAUCCAGCGCGUCGUCUCCUCGUCGACCGGCAUCCCCGUGGAGAGGGUCUCCGCGGACGAGUCGGCCGGGCUGCUAACGAUGGAGGAGACCCUGCACCGGCGCGUCGUCGGCCAGGACGAGGCCGUGAAGGCCGUGAGCCGCGCCAUGCGCCGCUCGCGCGCCGGCCUUCGCGACCCCAGCCGGCCGAUCGCCAGCUUCGUGUUCGCCGGCCCGACGGGCGUGGGCAAGACGGAGGUCGUCAAGGCGCUCGCCGCGUGCAACUACGGCUCGGAGGAGGCCAUGGUCCGGCUGGACAUGAGCGAGUUCAGCGAGCGGCACGCGGUGGCGAAGCUGGUCGGGGCGUCCCCGGGCUACGUCGGGUACGAGGAGGGCGGGCAGCUGACGGAGGCGGUGCGCCGGCGGCCGUACGCGGUGGUGCUGUUCGACGAGGUCGAGAAGGCGCACAGGGACGUGUACAACAUGCUGCUGCAGGUGCUGGAGGACGGCAGGCUGACGGACGGCAAGGGGAGGACGGUGGACUUCCGGAACACCAUCAUCAUCAUGACGUCUAACGCCGGCAGCGGCGGCGACGGGGAGAUGACGGGCGUGAUGGUCGAGAAGGGGAUGAAGGAGAAGCACGGGUUCCCGCCGGAGUUCCUGAACCGGCUCGACGAGGUGAUCGUGUUCCGGGAGCUCACCAAGCCGGAGAUGAAGGAGAUCGCCUCCAAGAUGCUGGAGGAGGUCGUCCGCCGGAUGAGGGAGAAGGGGAUGGAGCUGCGGGUGACGGAGAGGUUCAAGGAGCUGGUGGCCGAGGAAGGCUACGACCGCAGCUACGGCGCGCGGCCGCUGCGGAGGGCCAUCACCAGGCUGCUGGAGGACAAGCUCGUGGACAUGAUGCUCGCCGGGGAGGCCAAGGAAGGGGAUUCGCUGACUCUAGAUGCUGACGCCGAAGGGAACGUGGUCGUCCACAACCGACGGGCUGGCUGACCAGUGUGUUUCCACUAUGUAAGACAAUAAGUUCUGGGGAACCAGCACACCCCUUUAGGGGUGACUUAUCUCAUUAUAUAUAAUGGUUGUGUUACAAUAUGUACCAUAUACGUACAUAGGUACAAAAGCUAUACAUAGUCUAACACCCUCCCUCAAUCUUAGCCACUUUCUAAAGAACUGAGAAGGGUAAGAUUGCGCCUACAAGCCUUAAACUGUGGCAGCGGUAAAGGCUUAGUGAAGAUGUCUGCAAGUUGAUCCUUAGAUGAGAUAAACUUGAUCUGGAGUUGCUUCUGUGAUACACGUUCCCGUACAAAGUGAUAGUCAACUUCAAUGUGUUUCAUUCGGGCAUGAAAUACUGGAUUUGCAGAAAGGUAUGUAGCACCGAUGUUAUCACACCAAAGAAUAGGAGGCUGUGGUUGAGACAAACCCAACUCCUUAAGCAAAGACUGCACCCAAAUAAUCUCUGCAGUAGCAUUAGCCACAGCCUUGUACUCAGCUUCAGUACUGCUACGUGACAUAGUAGCCUGUUUCCGAGCACUCCAGGCGAUCAAAUUAGAGCCAAAGAAUACUGCAUAACCCCCCGUGAAUCGCCUGUCAUCUGGGCUACCAGCCCAAUCUGCAUCAGAGAAGGCCGAAAGGACCUGAGAGGAAGUCGGCCGAAUAUGCAUACCAAAUGUCAGGGUGAACUGAACAUAACGAAGAAUGCAUUUAACAGCAGCCCAAUGAGUAUCUCUGGGAGCCUGAAGAUACUGACAAACCCUGUUAACAGCAUAAGAGAUAUCUGGUCUCGUGAUCGUCAAGUACUGAAGUCCACCAACAAUGCUCCUGUACUCUGUGGCAUCCGCAGGAGACAAAAGCUCACCAUUAACAGCUGUUAUCUUGUCGGUAGACGACAUGGGUGUGGUGGUCGGUUUGCACUUCAGCAUGCCAGCUCUCUGUAACAACUCCAAGGAGUACUUCUUCUGCGUAAGGACAAGACCAGUAGCACGAGAAGUGACCUCAACUCCAAGAAAGUAGUGAAGCUUCCCAAGAUUUUUGACCGCAAAAUCAGCACCAAGAGAGCAGACAAGAGCAUCAGCAGCAUACUGAGAAGAGCUGACAAGGAUAAUAUCAUCGACAUAUACCAAAAGAUACAUAGUGACUUCUGGCUUCUGUAGAAGAAAUAACGAAGUGUCAGCAGUAGACGGCACAAACCCAUGAGCACGAAGGGCAGAGGCAAGGCGGGCAUGCCAGGCACGAGGAGCUUGCUUCAAACCAUAUAGUGCUUUGGAAAGACGACAGAUAUAGUCAGGACGAUCAGGAUCAGAGAAACCAGGCGGUUGUUUCAUAUAAACCUCUUCCUCCAAAAAUCCAUGUAGAAAAGCAUUCUGCACAUCAAGUUGACGAAGUGACCAACCACGAGAAACAGCAAUGGAGAGAAGAAGCCGAAUAGUGGUAGGCUUGACGACAGGACUGAAGGUGUCCUCAUAGUCAAGACCAUGACGCUGCCGAAAACCGCGAGCAACAAGUCGCACUUUGUAACGCUCAAUAGAUCCAUCCGAAUGCUUCUUCACUUUGAAUACCCAUUUUGAGUCAAUAACAUUUACCCGUGGUGGUGGAGGAACGAGAGUCCAUGUCUUGUUACGAAGAAGAGCAUGAAACUCCUGCUCCAUAGCCUCUCGCCAAUGUGGAAUGCGCAGGGCAGCCUGAUAUGAGCGAGGCUCAGAAGAUGGAUCCGCAACAGCAGCAGCCAAACAAGCAGCCAACCAAGCAACCGUACCAUCCUUACGUUCCUUAGGUUUGAAAAUGCCACUGCGACUGCGUGUAUGUGGUCGGGACAUAGGAACCACCGAGGUCGACGGAGCAGCCUGCAACGGGCUGGAGGACGGCGACGUUGACGAGUCAGCCGGUGACGAGGAGCCAGUCACGGUAGCCUCGGACUCGGUUGGCGAAGAAGGCCGACCCACCGGCGAAACCGGCAGAGCAGACGAAGCAGCUGGCGACUCCGGCAUCACAGACCGGGCCGAUGGCGAGCUCUGCAUAGUGGGCCGUGGCGCGGCCGGUGUCGCGGGCCGGUCCGCUGAUGAAGGCGACGUGAGGACCCGAGCCGCGGGCGAAGACGGCGUGACGGGCCGAGCCGCAGGCAAAGACGGCGUGACGGGCCGAGCCGCGGGCGACUCGGCGGCCGCUGGCGAAACGGACCGAGCAGUGGAGAUGCUCGGCGCGACGGGCUCGUCGGGUGACCAUGCAUGGGCACGCGAAUCGAUGCCAUGCAACAUAGGGCGAUCGACGUGCCCACCAGAAGACGACGAUGAUGAUGGUGAAUCCUCCAACAGCUCCAAACGAGCUCCACGUCCGGUUCCUGCACCAUGGUUAGGUAACAGCAAAGGAGAGUAUGCAACAUCAUCAAAUUGGUCAGAAGCAACAGAGGAUGAAUGCAGGGAUGGUGGUUCGACAGUGGACACAGGAAGGUUGGCAAAGGGAAAAACAUGCUCAUCAAACACGACGUCCCGAGAUAUAUAGACACGAUUAGUGGGAACAUGAAGACAUUUGUAACCUUUAUGAAGAGAGCUAUAGCCAAGAAAAACACACUUCUUAGAACGAAACUCAAACUUGCGCUUGUUAUAUGGACGAAGAUGCGGCCAGCAAGCACACCCAAAUACCUUGAGAAAGGUAUAAUCAGGUUGUUCAUUAAGGAGAACCUCAAUGGGAGUCUUCAUGUUUAAAACACGAGUAGGAGUACGGUUGAUGAGAAAGCAUGCAGUGGUGAAAGCAUCACUCCAAAACCGAAACGGAACAGAUGCAUGGGCCAAAAGAGUAAGACCAGCUUCAACAAUAUGACGAUGCUUACGUUCGACUGAACCAUUCUGCUGAUGUGUAUGUGGACAUGCUAAACGAUGAGCUAUCCCAAGCGACUGAAAGAAAGAGUUGAGGUUGCGAUACUCGCCCCCCCCCCCCAGUCUGACUGGACAUGAACAAUUUUGUGCUUGAGAAGACGUUCAACAUGUUUUUGAAACUGAACAAAAAUAUCAAACACAUCAGAUUUGCGUUUAAUAAGGUAAAGCCAGGUAAAGCGACUAUAAGCAUCAACGAAACUGAUAUAGUAAUUAUGACCACUGACAGAAGUCUGAGCAGGACCCCAUACAUCUGAAAACACAAGUUCUAAAGGAUGUUUCACCUCACGACUGAACUCCGAAAAAGGAAGUUGAUGACUCUUCCCCUGCUGACAAGCAUCACACACUGCUACAUCUUUAUGACUAGACAAACUAGGAAGCUCAUGACGACGCAAAAUAUGACGGACAAUAGGUGUGGCCGGGUGACCAAGACGAGCAUGCCACUGUGACGGAGAGACCCGAACUCCACUGAAAACACGAGCGACACCAGGAUGCUCCAGACGGUAGAGGCCCUGGCACAACCGCCCACUAAGAAGAAUGUCCCUCGUGCCCCGAUCCUUAAUAAAAAGAUCAAAAGGGUGAAAUUCACAAAGCACAUUAUUAUCACGUGUGAGUUUAGGAACUGAAAGAAGAUUACGGGUCACAGAUGGAACUCGAAGAACAUUGCGAAGCUGAAGACUCCUAUUGGCAUGUCUAGUGAGAAGAGAUGCUUGACCAAUAUGAGAGAUGUGCAUACCUGCUCCAUUGGUGGUGUGGAUCUUGUCGGAGCCAUGAUAGGGUUCACGAGUGUGAAGCUUCCCCGUCUCGCUGGUUAGAUGCUCUGUCGCCCCAGAGUCCAUGUACCAGUGUGGAUCGAUGGAGUAGGACUGAGUGUGUCCCUGUUGCUUCUGCGGCGCGGGACGAUCAGCCAUGGCGACCUGACGGGCAUUGUUGCGUGUAUCUUUGUCGUCAUUGCCAAGACCAAGGAAGCUUUGCUGGAAGCGCUUAUGACACUUGGAGGCCCAGUGCCCAUCGCGGCCACAAAGCUGACACACACGUGGACCGCCAGCCCCCGGUAAGGUCGCAGUAGGUGGGGGGGCCGAGGCGGGCGACGGUGGCAGCCCCAAGGGAGAUCGGGGUGAUGAAGAAGAGCGGCCACCCUUGGUGGCGGCGUUGGCCGAGAGGGAGCCAGUGCCCCUGGUGCGGCGAGUCUCGACCCGUUGCUCAGUGAGAAGGAGCCGAGAGAAAACCUCGUGUGCCAGCAUGGGUGUCGAGUUGCCCCGCUCGUUGAUGAUCUCGACUAAGGCAUCAUACUCCUCAUCAAGACCAUUGACAAUAAACGAGUUGAACUCGGAGUCGGUGAGGGGUUGUCCAAUGGAGGCCAAUGUGUCAGCGAGGCCCUUGACCUUGUUGUAUAACUCAGUGGCAGUGGAGUCAAGCUUCUGACACUCUCCAAGCUGACGACGGAGUGCAGAGACACGAGCCUGAGACUGCGCUGCAAAGGUGCGCUCAAGGAUGGUCCAGGCCUCAUGAGACGUCUUCAUGAAGACAACAAGGCCGGCAACUGCCGGCGAGAGCGACCCCUGGAUGGAGGAGAGGUUCGCCUGGUCCUGCCCCGUCCAGACGCGAUGGGCCGGAUUGUAGACCGGACCAUGCACGCUGUCUACCAGCGCGGGUGGGCAGGGAAGCGAUCCGUCGACGUAGCCUAGCAGGUAGUGACUCCCCAAGAGCGGGAGAACCUGCGCACGCCAGAAGAUGUAGUUGUCGGCGGAGAGCUUGAUGGUGAUGAGAUGACCGAAGUGAAACGGCGGCGGCGAAGACAAUCCCAUCGAGGAGGCUGCCUGGGGUGCAAACACCAUGGAGGCAGCCGGAGGCACCGAAGCCGAUGCGGGAGGAGGCGGGACCGCAGCCAGGGCGGGCGCCGCAAAGCUCGCGGCCGGUGCGGACGCCGCAAGGCCCGCGGCCGGGGCGGACGCCGCCAACCCCGCCAGCGGGGCAGUGUGAUCCGCUUGUGGCAGGAGCGGCGGGACGACGCCUGCGGAGUCCGCAGCGGACGGCGGCGCCGCGGUGUGGACCACGAGGUCACGCCCAAGCGAGGGCGCCAGCGGCGUGGAGAAGACGGAGCCGAUGCUCCUUGUCCCGAUCGGAGCCGGAACAGAGACGGCAUCGAGCGGGAGGUUGAGCAGAGCCACAAGAGAGGCCGGGAGGAAACCCGCAGCAGUGGAACCGGCGGUGGCGGCGCUCGACAUGGCGGCGGCGCGAUCGGUGGCGCGGCGGCGGCGGUGAAGGCGGCAGCGGCUGCGGCGGCGGUGCGGGUAUUAGGGUUUAGAAGCGGAAGCGAUCGUAACCUAGCGUGAUACCAUGUAAGACAAUAAGUUUUGGGGAACCAGCACACCCCUCUAGGAGUGGCUUAUCUCAUUAUAUAUAAUGAUUGUGUUACAAUAUGUACCAUAUACGUACAUAGGUACAGAAGCUAUACAUAGUCUAACACACUAUUGCUAUCAACAAUUGUCAAUGUCUUUCUUUUGUGACCGGCCUUUGGUUGAAUGAUGCGGGGAUGCCUGUGUGGCUGAGUAUUUUGUGAUGCUUCCAUAGUCACGGGUCUUUUAGGGGAAAAGUCAUUUUUAUUGAUCAAAUUCCACAGACAGUGGGAUACAAACUGGAUCAUGCGGCUGGCCAAGCCAUACAUAACGCCUCUAAACUAAAGUAUUAGCAAACUUUGCUAAACUAUGAGCUUCGCAAUUCACAGCUCACCCUUCAAAAGUGAAGUUACAUGAAAAAAAGUUGAUCUAGAUCUGAUUUCGCUUAUGAUUUCAUGGGUAGAUUCGAACAAGUUGAUCCGGGUCUUUUUUGAAACACCAACUACACGUCGCGCACAUAUAUACUAAAGACCAAGAGUUACAAAGGUUCAAGCUUGCGAGGUACUCCCUCCGUCCGGGUUUAUUAGGCCUAAAGACAACUUCUCUUAGACCAAGACACAUAAUAAUUUGCUCACAUAAAUUCUUCAAUUCCACUCUCAAUGCACUCUCUCACAUGCAUGCAGCCAAUGAAAAAGCACGCAUGAAGUGUAUUAAUUUCCCAUUCAUGGCACCAACAACAAUGGCUUUCAAGGCAACCAAUGAAAUGGUUGCACGCAUGCACCUUUCCAAAGCGAGGCCUUAUAAAAAGGGACAUGCUUAUGAUGCUAAGAGGCCUAAUAAACCCGGACGGAGGGAGUAGCUUGCAGCUCAAAGGAGGGUGGGCCAACAUGCAAAAAAGCUCAUGGGCUGUUGUUUUAAGGCCCGGGAGUAGACGGAUAAUGUGUAAAACUUCAUGGGUUGGACAGGUCACGGCCCAUUCGGCCUUGCUGAAGCUCCGCAGAGGUGAGAAUGACACCUCACUAUCAACAAAAACUUCGCCUUCAGUUGUUGAGGGGCUCGCUGGCCAUGCCUGGUUAGGUGAUGUUCAUGGAGCCCUCGGUUCAGCUGUGCUUGUGAAAUACGUAUAGCUUUGGUGCCCCCUCCACCGUGUGAAACUAUCCACUACUCUCGACCGCCUCUCUUGGAGAUUGACGUGUGAUGGAUGCUGCUCGAUCAGUUCCUGCUACCGAGUGUUGUUCAGCGGCUCCACCACUUUCCUGCAUUGACCUUGACAUGAAAACUUGGGCACCCUUCCCGGGUGGUUCUUCAUUACAUGCUGGACCUUGGCGAUAUUGGCACGACACGGUCUGCCGCACAAUGAUUAUUGCGCCCUCUGCGACCAAGCGUCGGAGACCAUGCAACACCUCAUUGGGCGCCGCCUGAUGACGGGGAUUUUCUCCUCUCAUGGGCCUCAAUCACCUAUGCAUCGCCUACCGGCCAUCGGAAAGGCCUCGCGUCACUGGUGAACCUCAUGGGUACUCACGAUAAAGGACUGUCUUAACCAGCAUACAUUAUCGUGUUGGUUUUUAGGAAUUGCUAUAUGUGUGCUCCGAAGGACUUUCAUAAAAAAAAAGUUUGCAUUUGCCAUUGCCCCCUAACGAACGUUCGCUGAAUAGCAUAUAACCGAUUAAAAAAAACUGAUGUCCGCGGUGCAGUGGUGUCCGUCUCAAAGUCUCUGGCCCACAACUGGCCGCGGGUCCCCUUCCAUGGAAGCGCGCCACCCUCGGCGGAACUCUCCCUCUCGUAGGCAACUGGGUACCUGAUUCUGAUUGUGGUGCGGUGGACGUGAUCUCUUUCUGUACUUGUGUGUUUCUAAUCAGCCCAGCCCUAAUCGAUCCCCCUGGCCAUUGUUCCAGGAUCGGAGUCCCUCUGGUACGUGAACAACAGAUCGAUUUAAUCCCAUCAAUCCAUGAUUCCAUGCAUGGCCCCGUUACGUUCUUCUUCCUGUCCUUGAUGAAGAUCGAUCCCGCGGAUCACGCCGUUAAUUUUCUUACCAAGAUUCCAAAUCCUGUUCUUGGCUGCGAAACAAUGCCGAUGAUCGUCAAUUUUCUGUCUGUUAACCUUGGUCUUCUUCUUCCGCAGGUCGCCGGAAGCUACCUAUCUAUCUAGAAAUCUGCCGCCGCCAUGGAGAGUGCCUUGCUGAGGCCACCCGCUCUGGGACUGGGAUCGCCCGCCGGGCUUGGAGGCGGCACGGCCAGCUGGAGGUCCCGGAGCGCCACGAGGCCUCCCUCCGUCGUCCCGGCGCUUCCGAAGCCGGCACGCUGGCGCCCCGUCAAGAUGUCAGCGAUCGCCGGCCACCGGCGAGAGCGAGACUUACACACCCAUCCGGUCACGCUCACGCCCGCGUCGGUGUUCGUCGGCGGCGGCGGCUUCGGACCAUCGUCGUUGUCGUCGCGCGGAUCGUCGUCGAGGGGCCGGCGUCGCCUCGUCGCCAGGGCCAUGUUCGAGAGCUUCACCGAGAAGGCCAUCAGGGUGAUCAUGCUGGCGCAGGAGGAGUCGCGGCGCCUCGGGCAUCACACGGUCGGCAGCGAGCAGAUCCUCCUGGGCCUCGUCGGCGAGGGCACCGGCAUCGCCGCCAAGGUGCUCAGGUCCGCGGGGCUGAACCUCAAGGACGCCCGCGCCGAGGUGGAGAAGGUCCUCGGGAGGGGCCCUGGCCUCAUCCCCAUCGAGAUCCCCUUCACCGCGUCCGCCAAGAAGGUGAUCGAGUCCUCAACUGAGGAAUCGCGCCAGCUAGGUAUGUUAUGCCCCGUUGCAAGUUCAUCCAAAGAAGAUGUUCUUGCGGUCGUCUUAGGUUAUCUUCUUUUUACUAGUGAAGUUCUUCUCUUGAUUUAAUGAUGAUGCACAGCAAUUUAUCAGCACAAACAAUUUUGUUACGAACUUAUUUGUUUCGUCCACACAUGGUUUUUCAUCUGCAGUAAAUUCCACCAAAAUUGCAGAUAUGUUUCAGUAGGCGUAAGAAUAUUUGUAUUUGGGUCAAAAAUUGUAGGCGUAAGAAGAUGGCUCUUGCUUGCGGUCGUCUUCGGUUAUCCUUUUGUUAUUUAGUAAAGUUCUUCUCUUGAUCUAAUGCUGAUGCACAGCAAUUUAUCAGCACAAACAAUUUUAUUCGGGGCUGUUUUGUUUUGUCCACACAUAUGGUUCUCAUUUUCAGUGUAAUUUCAACAAAAUUGCAGAUAUGUUUCGGUAGACAUAAGAAUAUUUGUAUUGCGUUCCAAAUUUGCAUCGCCGUGGAAAUAUUUCAGUGAACGUUAAUUUCAGCAGAAUUUAAACAGAACUCAAAAUUUCAUCCAAAUUUGGUUGUAUUUCAGUCAAAGUCAAGGGAGAAUUUUUGUCAUUCAGCCAAACUGAACCAAAAUAACAAUGUUGGUGAUUUCAGCGAUGAUCGACAUCGAGAAUAUGAAUCAUGGCCAGACAUUCCAUAGAUGCAAAGUACAGUAUGGUUAACUGUAUUCUCUCAUGAUAGAAUAUCAUUGGCGCAUUAUUAAGAAUCAGGAAUACUUAUUUAGUUCUCUUAUUAUCAUUGUUCUUUGUUGCUAUUGUUGCUACUGCACAUUAUAUAUUUUCUUUAAGAACUUAGACAACCGGUUAUUUUUCUCGCACUAAAUCGCCUUAAAACUGUCCAGGGCAUAACUACAUUGGAACGGAACACUUGCUUCUUGGGUUGAUCCGUGAGGAAGAUGGUGCGGCAGCCAUUGUACUUAAGAACUUUCAGGCUGAUCUCGGCGACAUUCGCAAUGAGGUAGAUUUACACUGAGAACUGUUAACCAAACGGUCAGUUUUUUUUACUUCCAUUCUCAGUUGGCAAACUCACAGCUAUGAGUUAUGUGUUGCUUCUUUUAGGUUAUCAAAAUGAUCACUGACAUGUCUGAAGAUCAAACUGUCGGUGCCGGCGUUGGGGGAGGAAGCAGUGGGGCCAAGAUGCCUACACUCGAGGAGUAUGGGACUAAUCUAACAAAAUUAGCACAGGAGGUACUGAACUAGGCCCAUCAUGUCAUAAUAAUAGCAGUAGUUCAGAAUGCAAGGAAAUAGAGUAAAUAACUUGUGAAUCUUGAUAUUUUCUGUAGGGGAAGCUCGAUCCCGUCGUCGGAAGGAACAAGCAGAUCGAGCGCGUGCUGCAGAUUUUGGGGAGACGAACAAAGAACAAUCCCUGCCUAAUUGGAGAACCCGGUGUUGGAAAGACGGCUAUCGCGGAAGGCCUUGCGCAGCGCAUUGCCACCGGGGAUGUGCCUGAAACAGUUGAAGGGAAAACGGUUUGUGUUCAUCACAUCUCUUGUGUUAAAUAUGCUUUUAUGUGCUGUUGAACUUUGAACCAUCUAUUUUAUGUCAUGUUGAACUUGGAACUAUGUAUGUACUGCCCUGUUGAACUUGGAACUAUGUAUGUACUGUCAUUCACUGUUUAUGUCAAGCAUUUGGACCUAUCUUCUAAAUUGUUGUGAUUUAUGUCAUGUACGAGACCAUAUUUGAGACUACAUGCUAUUUCUUAUUGUUUCGAAUUUUGUGUUAUGUUAUCGUAAAAAUAUAUUGUUGUCAUUCUAUCACCAUUUGUGUUUCCUGAUGCUUUUCUAGAAUAUUUAAUUAUUUUAUUGCUAUACAUUCAUUCAUAGUCAGAUUUCAUUUUUGAGUGAUGUAGAACAAGGUAUAACCUGGUAAUGUAGCUAUGCAAUUCCAAAGUUUGUCAUCCAAACAAGAUUCUGUAUUGAAAUCUUAGAGGCAUUUCAAGGGCCAAUUCGUUGGACAACCAAACAUGUGAAUUCGUAUUCGUCUCAUUUCAGUUUCCACACUGAUUUGGAAUUCAGGCCAAUUCAAUACGGAGCUCUCCAAUGGAGACAUCCAAACGGAGCCUAUAUGAUAUUGGCUCUGUGUACCUUUCCUUUUAGCUCUAUAUAUGUCUGGUACACAAAGCGAAGUCAGAUAUGAGGCAUGAUCAUCAUUGGCCAUGUUUUCUUUUGUUUGAGCCGUCCUGGAUUUUGUUUGACAUCACUAGGUGAGAUGAAUAAUGGAUCUUCUUCUUGUAACCUGUCAUGGUAGGUUAUCACCCUUGACAUGGGACUUCUUGUUGCCGGGACCAAAUACCGUGGAGAGUUCGAAGAAAGGUUGAAGAAACUGAUGGAAGAGAUCAAGCAGAAUGGAGACAUAAUACUUUUCCUUGAUGAAGUCCACACUCUGGUGGGAGCAGGAGCAGCAGAAGGUGCUAUUGACGCUGCUAACAUUCUGAAGCCAGCACUGGCGAGAGGCGAACUUCAGGUACAGAUAUGUACACUUUUCAUGCAGUGACUAGUAUAGUCUGAUUCAAGGAAAAUGUGAUAACUCAUAAAUCAAACAUUUUUGUUAGUGUCUUGGGGCCACUACAAUCGACGAAUACAGGAAGCACAUUGAGAAAGACCCUGCGCUGGAGAGGCGCUUCCAACCAGUGAAAGUUCCGGAGCCCACAGUUGAUGAGACCAUAGGAAUCCUCAAGGGGCUCCGGGAGCGAUACGAGAUCCACCACAAACUCCGAUAUAGCGACGAAGCGCUGAUCGCCGCUGCCCAGCUCUCAUACCAAUACAUCAGGUUUGUGAAUUCCAAGAGCGCUUGUACCAUCACAUACUGAGUAGUUGGUCAGAUCUGCUUGCAAACUUCAGUGUUGGAUAGGAGUAGUUCCCAGCAUACAACGAAGUUUCCUGACAGACUAUUUUGUUUGCAGUGAUCGUUUCCUCCCAGACAAAGCAAUCGACCUGGUUGAUGAGGCAGGAUCUCUUGUCAGGCUACGCCAUGCCAAGGUAGUACAAGAUGUUCUUGAAUGAUGAUGCGCCUAAACAUUUUUCCAAGUUGUUGCGUCUACAAGAUCUGAAUCUGAAUUUUGGGCUAUGAUGACAGCUACCUGACGAAGCUAAAGAUCUCGACAAGAAGCUCAAGGAAAUCACCAGACAGAAGAACGACGCCAUCCGCUCCCAGGAAUUCGAGAUGGUAAUCUUUUCGACUAUGAUUCAACAAGAGUCAACCUGAAAUGCACAUCUUAUAGGAGAACGUUAAUUCUCUGAAUGAUGUAGGCCGGAGAGCUUCGCAGGGAAGAGCUUGAGCUCAAGACCCAGAUCAUGUCGCUGGUGGACAAGAGCAAGGAGGUGAGCAAGGCGGAGAUGGAGUCGGGAGCAUCGGCUGGCCCGAUGGUGAUGGAGGCGGACAUCCAGCGCAUCGUCGCGUCGUGGACCAGCGUCCCCGUGGAGAAGGUCUCCGUGGACGAGUCCAGCCGGCUCCUCAAGAUGGAGGAGACCCUGCACGGGCGCGUCAUCGGCCAGGACGAGGCCGUCAGGGCCAUAGGCCGCGCCAUCCGCCGCGCGCGCGUCGGGCUCAGGAACCCCAACCGGCCCGUGGCCAGCUUCAUAUUCGCCGGCCCGACGGGCGUGGGCAAGUCGGAGCUGGCCAAGGCGCUGGCAACCAGCUAUUACGGCUCGGAGGAGGCCAUGGUCCGGCUGGACAUGAGCGAGUUCAUGGAGCGGCACACGGUGGCCAAGCUCAUUGGCUCCCCUCCCGGCUACGUUGGGUAUACGGAGGGCGGGCAGCUGACGGAGGCUGUCCGGCGGCGGCCCUACACCGUGGUCCUCCUAGACGAGAUCGAGAAGGCGCACCCGGACGUGUUCAACCUGAUGCUGCAGAUCAUGGAGGACGGCCGGCUCACAGACAGCAGGGGGCGGACGGUGGACUUCAAGAACACGCUCAUCAUCAUGACCUCCAACGUCGGCAGCAGCGUGAUCGAGAAGGGCGGGAAGCAGCUGGGCUUCGACCACGACGACGGUGAGGCCCGCAGCAGCUACGGCAGGAUCAAGAGCCUGGUGGACGAGGAGAUGAAGCAGUACUUCCGGCCAGAGUUCCUGAACCGGCUCGACGAGAUGAUCGUGUUCCGGCAGCUGACCAAGAUGGAGGUCAAGGAGAUCGCCGUUAUCAUGCUUGCGGAGGUGACCGGCCGGAUGAAGGCCAAGGGGAUCGAGCUGAUGGUGACAGAGAACUUCAAGGAUCUGGUCGUGGAGGAAGGCUACGACCCCAGCUACGGCGCCCGACCGCUGAGAAGGGCCAUCAUGAGGCUGCUCGAGGACAAGCUCGCGGACAAGAUGCUCGCCGAGGAUGUCAAGGAGGGAGACUAUGUGAUCAUCGACGCCGACCCGAUGGGUAACGUCGCCGUCCUUAGCAGGCACAGCGACUCGCCGGAGGACCAGCCGCUGGCGUUUCCUGCCUAGCUAGUACAGUUUAAUCAAGCAGUUCAUUUUUUGUUUUUAUAUAUUUUGUACUAUAUAGGGGAUAAAGCAGAUGCAUAGUUAAGUUUCAGAUGCCGGCCAUGUUUACCAUUUUGGUAAGCGGUGAAUGAAAGAGAGAUCUCCUGAUUACUGAUGCUCGGCAAACACUGGCCAUUUGGCAAGCAAUACAAGACAAUGGGAUCAAACUUCGAUGAUUUUCCUUCGAUCACCGGAAAAUCAUAUUGCAACUUGACAGGGUCGAUAAUAUAUUACUUCUAUACAAAAUGAUGAUACUACUAUAGUUCUCCAAUGGCACUGCCAAAGGAGGCUAUCCAAAUAAUAUAGGCCAACCAAAAGAACCCAGGAAAGUACCUGUACUAUAUACCUUCCAUACCACCACAUCAGUAGCUCACGCAUGUUAAGAAGGUACAGAGGGCAACCCGCCGAUUAGGUUGGACCUAGACCUCGCCUCUUUUGCUUCGGAUUGGGACUUGACGCUUCCUUAAAAGCUGAUGGGCAAAUGGUGUUUAUGCCACAGCUGCCGCAUUUGGGCCUCAGCGGAGUACAGAUUGUCUGACCAAAUCCGACCUACAUGAGAUUUUCAGUUCCAACGUAAGACAAGCAUUUCUGGGAACUACGAAGGUAUAAUCCAAACUUGUUCUGCUCGAUCCCCACCAAAAAAAGAAGAGCCUGUAGUUACUUGGAAAUAGGAAAGAAAACAUUCCCUGUAACCAAAGUUGAACCAAUUCAGUGGAGCAUUACCAGUAGCGGGUUUAUUGGCUCCCACUCAUCCUUGGGCAGCCACUUCUCAAGAGACAUCCUUGUCUGUUCUGGUGUAGUAGUUUUCUGUGAAAAAAUAAAUAAAAAACCAAUGGUAAAUAUAACUUGUUUCCAAGCAGAAAGAGUAGACAAUACGAACUUAACAAACAACCUGCUUUGUUCCUUCUCGGAAAACCCAUCCAAGACGGUUGGAAAUGCGAUGCACAUGAGUGUCCACACAGAUUCCUUGAGUAUUCUUCCAUGCGAUGCUCAUCACCUGUUUCGUGAAAAUAGCUAUGAAGAAACUUAAGUUUAAAUUCCAACUAUGGAUUAUAUGAUUAGUAGAUAAAUUACCAGAUGAGCCAUUUUAGGGCCAACUCCUUUCAGAGCAAGCAGAUCAGUCAAAGUAUCUGGAAUAUCUCCUCCAAAUCGCUCAAGGCAAAUUCUGGAAGCUUCUUUUAUGAAUUGGGCCUUCCUCUGAUAGAAUCCAACCUGAUUAAAUUAUGCACAGUACUGUAUAAAUAGUUGACCUCAAUAGCUUAACGUAAGCGGUGCAAAGAUGACAGUAGAAGCUAACAAAACCGUUAAGGCGCUUGCCUCCGACUAGCUAAUUUAGCAACAAUUGCAAUUACCCACACGAGAUGGUAACAAAGUCUAAAGCAGGGUUAUACGGGUCUAGUCUGUUAUCUAUUGGCAUUAUGCCAAUGAUGUGACAAUAAAAGUAGAUGAUCAAAUUCUAUUUUCAUGUUCAUAGCUUCAGAUACUAAUAAAGUAACAGUUACCGUUUAAACUAAAUCAGGAAGGUGCCAUUACUUUUGAUCCUAAUUAAGCAAAAGGCUGGCAACUUACAGGUUUGAUAAGAUUUGCCAGUGUGGCCUCAUCUGUUCUGACGAUAGCAUCAGGGUCAAGUAAACCGUUCUCACCGAGACGCUCCACAGCAGCUGAUAACAAUUCAGUCCAAAAUACAAUCAGCAUUCGUCUGAAAGAGAAACGCUACUAAGUACAGUUACAGCUAGGGAAAAUAAUUAAGUAGAGUCAGACUUUUUCAUGACAAGAUUACCUCAAUUCAGUGGAAUAUGUAGUCAUGUAAAUAUUGUAAUUUAUUUUGGUUCUUUAAUAGAAAAUAUACCGUAGGGGGCUCCCCUACUGUUCAGUGGUUAAAAAAUCAAUUCAGUGGACAAACAACUUGAAAAUCCACCUCAAGUUCGGAAAUCUGAACCGCCAUUCACUAAUCUAUAUUAACACCAUAUAAAAGAUUCCUACUAAAUUCAAAUUCAUAUUGCAGUAAAAAAAACAAAUUUGUAUAGAAUAAUAAAAGAGCUCACAGGUGUAAGCAACUAAGCAUGCUCAAAUCUUCCACAGGGCCCCUCUUCAACCAACAGUAUAGCACAUUUAUUAAUGGACCAUAAUGGUUAGAUCCAUGCAAGUAUUUUAUACCAACAAGGGAUGAGCAAACCAGACAAACAAUACAAUCAUUGUUUUCUGUUAAUUGCUUACAAACUCAUGUUUCUAACAAUUGUCAAAACAGGGUGAAAUUACAUGUUUCUGGAAAGAUGGGGAGAGGAUAAGAGACUAGUGUGUAUUCCAGCAAUGCUUUGGACUUGCUGUUGAACAUCUAUGUAAGAACGCCGUCACAUUUGAACGAUUUUCAGCAGAACAUGGAUUAGUACCAGCUUCAGCAUUCACAGGCUAUCACUAAUAGGCAUGAAAUGAUAAGUUGAGUCAAGUUCCACAAUGUACUAUACUCCGAGCAGUAAUUGCAAGAGAAUUAAGUCUCAGAUGCAUAUGCUGAGGUCAUAAUUUCACAGCCGUGGAAACUGAACUGAGUGAUUUGAACUGUCGAGCGUUUUCAACAAUCGAUUCUAAGUGAACCACUGAUUCAGUUACUUUCAGUUCCAUACAAAAUUGGAAGAUACAUAUAGUAAUAACCAAUUGCCAAAAAAAAAAAUCCUAAGGCAUACCAUGCGUAACUUCAUCUUUUGUCUGGCUUGACAUCAUUGUUGAUAUAAGAACUGCAAACCUUCUUUCCUGCACAGGAAGAAAUGUAGCUUAUGGUUUGUUAACUAAUGAGGAUCAAUAGUGUUGCAUAGCAUCAUUCGAUGCAACUGGAGCCAGUGGAAAACAAAUAUUAGAUCCACCUAAAAAAAAUAGCAGAUCAAUGUGCAAAACUUUGUUUACAACAAAUAUGCAGUAAUACGGUAUCAACCGAAAAUUAGUGGAUCAAUAGGCCCAAAUCCAUGGCCAAUCUGCAAUCCAUUAGCCAUGAACCCAUGUACAGACUGCAUUUUCUGCCUAGCUAGUAAACAUUUCAAAUGGUAACAUAGCACAAGGAAAUUAGGGGAAUUUGCAAAUUACAUAAAACCCACACUCUCCCUAUGUAUGACAUAUUAAGCCAAAGAGGAUCACAUCCUCGUGUACUGUUCAUAGUAAAUGGACUUUGUAAACUACAAUUUUGAAUCUGAACAACUCUCUGACGAAUACCUUGGGUGGAAGAAGAGAACCAGCCUUUUCACAGCCCUUUGUAUCUACGGGGGCCUGGCCAGAUAACCUAAUGUUUUUAAUACCUGCAAGAACUGCUUCCCAAUUUUCUGGAGCUGCAACUACACACAUUACUAUGUUAGCUUCUUGAUCAGCAAAUGGACAUGAGGAUCAACACAUUUACAUGUAGGAGCAAAAACUCUUAAUAGAGUAGUCAAAAUAUCUGGUUUUGACACAAUUGCUUCGCAUGGUGCAACAUUUAACUAUUCAAGUGGUACUGGUACGUAUGUAAUGAUCUGAAGUCAGGAAAAGUGGACCGAAUGUAUUCAAGAGCCUAAGUUGAAAGAAUUUGAACUCCGUGAAAAAUUAGGCAUCCCAAUAAAGAUGUCUGCGGGAAUCAAAAGGCCAGAAUGUACGAGCAACAUGUAUGGUUAAAUUGAUCCCACAAAAGAAUGUAAGCACUACAUGGACAAAAUUAUGUAAUUCACUAUCAAAAAUUGAGGAAAUAUUGUGGAUACUGAUUAUAUAGGUUUGACUUGAUAUCAGGUUAUGUUUGAAGCAGAAGCUGCGUCUGUCUAUUUUAAAGAUCAUCAUUUUGGUAACAUGGGCCAUCUGGAACACUAGAAAUGAUUUAUUUCUAAAGGUCUUCAGCCAAAUCUAUGCAGAUGCAGGAAUAGAUUUAAGGAGGAAAUGAGAUUGCUUAUUCACACAGCUAAAAGGAAAGCAUACUCAGGGCUGCGACCUUGGGUUGAGGCAUUCAUCUGACUUGGUGCAUUCUAGUAAAGGGCUCUGCCUUGUGUUAGUUUUAUUUUAUUUUAUGUUUCCUGUACAUCCUUCUAAACUUAAAAUAUAAAUACAUGCAGGAAGGAAAUCUACUGUCUUCCUCAAAAAAAAAUCAGGUUGCAAGAACAGAAAUCAUCUAUAGUAAGAAUAACAGCGACAUCAUCUCAAAAAAAAGAAUAACAUCAAUAUAAUUUGGACAAAUAUGACAUAAUUUAUCUUUCCUGUUAAUCUUCUGACGUCUAAUUACCUUCCACUUUCACAACAGAUGAAACUCUGAUCUUUUUCUCCAACCUGACUGAAGACGUGAAAGGGUAAGCUUUUCAUAGGACAUAAGGGCAAAAUUUACACCUACAGUAAAAUGACACAUGCAGAUUUACAACAAGAUUAACCAUAUGCAGGAAACCCAAAAGGGGGAUUACUGCACAGAAUAAUGAUAACAAGCCACGCUUGACGAAACAAAUGCAAACAUGCAACAAUUGACUCUUAACAUUCAUAAUAGUCCUCAAUUUAAGCACAUGGUACAUGUGGAGCAAUUGAUUGACGAACAAUGAUUAUGGAUCAAACCAUUUAGAUGAAACAUCGAAACUUACCUGGUGAACUGUUCUUAUUUGAUGAUGCUGGUACCCUCUUCGUAGAUACUGAUGUUUUUGCCUCGGUCUUUACAUAUCGAAAAUCAUCGAUGUCAGGAACAGCACCAACCUGCAUAUGUGUAAUAUUUUCUUCAGCGGGACCUGAAUUGGACCAAAAAACCAAUAGUAGAAAAGGAAGCACUGCUAAACUGAGAGCACGAAUGCACUGAAAGGGUUAAAGUGCAGCUGUACAAUUACAUCUCAGCAUAACCGAAUAGUCAAGCGCACAGUAAUUUAAACCAAGUCCAGGAAGAAGAAUUAGUGAUGCACAAUGCUUCAUUUUUAAUAGGAAGAGAAACAUUAUUAUAGUUAGUCAGCAUAUACCUGCUUCUUAGGAUGCUCCUCCUUUACCUCAAGCACCCGGUUCAGCCUUUUCCUCUCCACAGAAUUCAUUUCAGAUUUGGAGUAGUCAAAAGAAACACUGGGUUCACACUUCACUUCCUUUACACCUGAAAAGGCACCAGUCAUGCUUUAGACAAAACAAGUACUCCCUCCGUUCCUAAAUAUAAGUCUUUGUAGAGAUUUCACUAUAAACUACAUACGGAUCUAUAUAGAUGCAUUUUAAGUGUGGAUCCGUUCAUUUUGCUCCGUAUGUAGUCCACCUAGUGAAAUCUCUACAAAGACUUACAUUUAGGAACGGAGGGAGUAAUAGUAAACACACUAUGAAAACAAGAAUGCGGAAUUUAACAGUCAUAGAUAUGACUGAAUGGAAAGUAUCGAGUCGUAGCUGAAGUGAACCGAUGCAUAACAAAAUUUUGGUCAUCUUAUUUAUGAAAGGAAAAAAGAAAAUAUUUUGGAUCGUAUUUAUGUCUUGAAAUUAGAAGGUUCAGGCAACAUGAACAUACAGAAAUAAGUGAGAUAACUCAUCUAAAAAAUGUUUUCCUUAAGGGGGUUACUGCACAGAAUAAUGUACAAGCCACGCUUGAAGAAACAAACACAAACAUGCAACAACUGACUCUUAACAUUCAUAAUAGUCCUUGAGCAAUGCCAAAAUAUAAGCGGAUGGUACAUGUAGAGCAAUUUAUUGACGAACUAUGAUAGAAUUUAGCAUUCAUAAUAGUCCUUAAGCAAUGCAAAAUAAAAGCACAUGGUACAUGUAGAGCAAUUGAUUGACGAACUAUGAUUAUCGAUCAAACCAUUUAGAGGAAACAUCAAAACUUACCUGGUGAACUGUUCUUAUUUGAUGAUGCUGAUACCCUCUUUGCAGUUACUGACGUUUCUGCCUCAGUCUUUACAUAUCGAAAAUCUUCAAUGUCAGGAACAAUACUAACCUGCAUAUGUGUAAAUAUUUUUCUUCAGUGGGACAUGAAUUGGACCAAAAACCAAUAGUAGAAAAGGAAGCACUGCUAAACUGACAGCACGAACGCACAAAUGCACUGAAAGGGUUAAACUGCAGUUGUGCAAUUACAAUCUCAGAAUAAUUGAACACUCAAGCGGACAGUAAUUUAAACCAAGAAUUUGAGAAAUCCAGAAAGAAAUCGAAAGAUGCACAAUGCUUCCUUUUUAAUAUGAAGAAAAACGUUAUUAUAGUUAGUCAGCAGAUACCUGCUUCUUAGGAAGCUCCUCCUUUACUUCAAGCACCCGGUUCAGCCUUUUCCUCUUGACAGAAUUCAUUUCAGACUUGGAGUAGUCAAAAGAAACACCGGGUUCAAACUUCACUUCCCUUACAGCUGAAAAUGCAUCAAUUCAUGCUUUACAGAAAACGAAUAAUGAUACCAAAGAAACUUCGGAAUUAAGACAUGUAGAUUUUAACAGUCGUAGAUAUGACUAAGAAUGGAAAGCACUGAGUCGUGGUUGAAGUGAAUUGGUGCGUAGUUAGGCUGAAAAAAUGUUAGUGAUCAUACUUGAGCUUUUCUUCUUAUCAAUAAGAAGAUAAAUGACAAGCAAACUUCUUCCAUUUUAUGGAAGGAAAAAAUAAUCAAUUUUGGAUCGCGUUUAUGCGUUGAAAUUAAAGCUUCAGCCUUGAGGCAACAUGGACAUACAUAAACAAGUGAGACAACACAUCGGAAAAAUUGUUUUCCUUACAUUCAACAAACAAGCACAUGAUAGCUAAAAGACUAUGAUGCAUAAGAACAAGCUUUUAGUGAUAAGAAAAUAAAAUGGUACCCGGGUGGGGUUGCUUCCAUCUUUUCUAGCAUUUCCAGAAAAAGCCAUGCCAGGGGAGAAAGGACUGAAACUUUGCGACUUUGCAAACAUAUUUUACACAAAUUAAAAGCGUAUGGCAUCUUUUUAACAUAUUUUGGAUCGUAUUUAUGUCUUCAAAUUAAAAGGUUCAGGCAACAUGAAAAUACAGAAUUAACUCAUCUACGCAAUGUCUUCCUUACAUUCUUUUUUAAGGAACCUUACAUUCAACAAACAAGCACAUGAUUACUAAAAGUGUAUGACCCACGGGAAUAUCACCGAAUCUUCAAGAGAGCACACUGAUUUCACAUAAUUUGUCAAGCGAAAUAAACAAUUCCGGCCGCUGAGCUUUUAGUGAUAAAAAAAAUGUUUUGGGCGGGUGGGGUCGCUUCCAACUUUAGUACUAGCAUUUCAAGAAAUAACCAACUGAAUGUACAAGUAUUUCCAUAAUACUAGCAGCAAAUGGGGUAUGGAAAUACACAGGCACAAAACUGAAUUUAAAAGGGGGGAAAGGAGGCGAACUUUGAACUGGGUUGAGCUCCGGGCGGGAUGCGCGGAUGAGCCUGGAGGCGGGGCGCGAGCUGGACAUGGAGGAGAUCGACGAGAAGAGGCCAAUGCGGUGCGGGAGGAGAUGGAAUUGGAAGCGCAUGGCCGGCUGGUGCGCGCCACUGCGUUAGGGUUUUAUGAGCAACGGGAGGGAGGGACAGGGGUCGUGUUCCAACUUUUCCCCUGUCUUGGUUUUGGUGGGUGGGGUCUUCCCCUGCGGGCUGCGGCGAGUGGCGCUCCACGGCGAUGCGUGGCUUCCUUUUUGCGGCGGCCAGGUUUGUCUCGUGGGAUACUGCAUCGCCUCUCGUAAUCGCUUGUUUGUUGGCCUUUGACUGGAAUCCUAUCGUGUUAAGUGAUUAAACUAAUUACAAAUAAUAAAGUGUUACUCCCAUGUAUCUAGACGAAUCUAAGACAAGAAUUUUGGGACGGAGGGAGUACAUCAAAGGUGGACAGUGGUAUCCCAAGCCCACUAAGAUUCAAGUCCUAGUGCUUGCAUUUAUUCUGAAUUUAUUUCAGGAUUUCCGGCGAUACAUUUUCAGUGGUAGGAGACGUGACUUCGUAAAAUCUAAAGAUGAUAUGUCGGCUCAGUCUCUUCAAGGUGUUCAUAGGGAUAGGGUGUGUGUGGGUGCGUUCAUAGGGAUGAGCGUAGCCUAUUCCGUCUAAAGUCGGACGGCCUCGUCCCCUCAAAGCGUAUCCACACACUCAAGAAGGAUCCGGCAGCGCCCACGGUCGUCGGGCACGUCCUCGUCCACCUUGAAGGUGGAGUGCUCCCCUUGGACGAGGAGGGACAGAGGCCGCCCCUGCUCAUCGUUGUGACGGGCGAUGAGUUCACCACGCAAAUGGAGAAGGUGAUGUGGCGGUCCCUGGCCGGCCGAGGUAUGGCAGUCAUCCCAUCCUUGCAACCGCGACAUCCACGGAUGCAUCCGCGUUAAGAAGGAGGUGUCGUCCCCUCCGCUCAAUCGCGACGUCCAGAUCGAACGCCACAUGAAGGAGGAGCCACUAUUGUUGCCAGCGGGGCAACCAAUGGUGGUGGUCGGCCCUCCCCGUCGUCGUCUAAGACACCCCCGCACCUCUACUACUACCUCGAGGGCGUGGGUCCGCCUCCUCGUCCAAAGUCGUGGCCAAGGCGUGCAUGAAGCGUUCGUGAAGAACUAGGUGGCGUUGGCACGGUGCUUGCGGAGGCUUGGGCCAUCGACCGGUCCAAGACCACCGAUUAGACGGACGUCCGUCAAUGACACCGACUCAAUGACCAGCUCCUAAAAGGUGGGUCCGACGGAGUCCGCCCGUGCCUCUUCAUCCGAGUCGCCGAAGACAAGUGAUGCAAAGGAGUGAAGGAUGCGACAGAGCAUCUGCACCACGAGCGCACGACGGUGGCCGGGUAAGGAUGCUUCAACGCCAAUAACGACGGGGAUGUCGGUGGCCAUGCUUAGGAAGUCACCUUCAGGUACCUGGCCUAGUUUAGUUAGCUUUUAGUUUGAACUUGUUAAAUUCUGUUUGGUUGUAAAUAUAGUUGUUUGUGCUUGUUUCAAUGGGUUGGAAAUUGCACAGGUUUCACUAGUCAAAUCAAAGACCUAAAAUUAGUGACCGGGUCCGUUGGGAGUAGUGGAAGAUUUUUAGAGCCAACCACAAUACAUUAUAUUUUUAGUUAGACAACCACAAUAAUACAUUGUCUCUAGAUAUUGUAUAUCUAUAAAAUGAUGAUGCAUUUCAACGUUGUGUUAUGAUUGUUAUGAUUCCAACAUUGGGGUGCUUGGUUGCUUAACCAUCUGAUUAAUUUCAUCUCUUCCUGUCUGCCUGAUGUGCAAAAUCCGACGAUAAUAAAGAACUAAGAGAAGUGAUUCCAGUACAGCUAGCCCACAAAAAAUGUAACCACAUCUGCAAACAGGGAUUAUGAUGACCAGCAUUCCAACCACAUUUGCAAAUCGAUCUCCAUAAACAUGAUCAAUGAAUUUAUUAAAAGUGCACUACUAGAAAGAUCAACUAUGCGCUUGAUCUAAGGAGAGCCUACCAUGCAAAACCACAGCAAUCCACACGACAGGCAGAAAACAAACACUCAGCAGCAU